UCCCGUGUGGCUCAGUUGGUAGAGCAUGGUGUUUGCAACGCUAGGGUUGGAGGUUUGAUUCCCACGGGGG
Molecule: transfer RNA, 70 nt
Filed under: Salmo salar (Atlantic salmon)
Lineage: Eukaryota; Metazoa; Chordata; Actinopteri; Salmoniformes; Salmonidae
Rfam family: tRNA
About the family: Transfer RNA (tRNA) molecules are approximately 80 nucleotides in length.
Source: Rfam by way of RNAcentral